AAAAAAAAAAAAAAAUUGUUUAAAAAAUAUAUAUCAUCCUAUUAUUUUUAUAAAACACUUUGUUACAGUUAUUAUAAUAAUUAUUUAAAUUAUAUAAAAGGAAUAAAAUAUAACAUAUAUAAAAUAAAAUUACCAACUAGUUUUUUAAAUAUGCAUUUUGUUACUAUUGUACAAUAUAUGUAUAUGCAUUACAAUGCAUUUGUUAUUGGUAUCAUAAAUCAGCAUAAUGAAAUAAAAUUGAAUCCAUUAAAUUUUAUUUACAUUUGUGUAGAUACAUGUUUUAUUUUAUUAACAGAUAAAUAUAAUAUAUUGCAGAAAAUUCAAAAUAUAAAAAAAAUUAAACUAGAUUGGGUAAACAAUAUUAAUGAAAUUAGUGUCAAAAAAGUAUACACUAAAAAGGAUACUGCACGUAAAUACUCGAGUACGAGCAAUGAUGGUAGUACUAAUAGAAGUAGCAGUUGUACCGACAGUAGAAGCUGUAACGAUGGUAGCAACGAAGGUAGCAGUAAUAACAGUAGUUACAGUAGUAGCAAUAGUAACAGUAGUAACAGUAGUUACAGUAGUAGCAAUAGUAACAGUAGUAACAGUAGUAACGACAGUAGCAUCUGUAACAAUAUGACCAGUGACAGUGGCAACCGUAAUAGAACUAAUUAUAAUGCUCACCAAGAGCUUAAUAAACUAUUAGAGGAAAAUAGAAACAUAACUUUUAAUCCAGUCUUAAAUAUAUUCAGGGUAGACAACUAUUUACAAGCAAUAAAAAUUUUUAAAUUAAAAAAUAAAACACUUCACAUGAAUUGGGAGAGAGAGAGGCCACUAAGUCAUAACAUGGGUCACCCUCAAAACCUACUACGCCAUAUGACUGAUAAAAAUAUGUUUCUAAAUUUUAAUCAGGUAAAUAAUAAGGAUGAUGGAUCAAAUCACUUUAAUGAAUGUAAUAAAGAAAGAUGUAAAAAAAAAAGUAUAUACCACUGAAGAUGGAGAUGGAGAUAGAGAUGAAGAUGGAGAUGGAGAUAGAGAUGAAGAUGGAGAUGGA
This 1033-nucleotide long non-coding RNA is filed under the name Piliocolobus tephrosceles (Ugandan red Colobus). RNAcentral's name for it is "lncRNA (ENSPTEG00000005327.1)". The record is from RNAcentral. Lineage: Eukaryota; Metazoa; Chordata; Mammalia; Primates; Cercopithecidae.